Non-coding RNA from Sodiomyces alkalinus F11, 73 nucleotides. NCBI's taxonomy places the organism in Eukaryota, Fungi, Ascomycota, Sordariomycetes, Glomerellales, Plectosphaerellaceae. The record is from the annotation of a RefSeq genome assembly.
GUGGAUAUAGUUUAAUCGGUAGAUCGACUAUUUAUGGCGUAGUGUGUUCCCUGUUCGAAUCAGGGUAUUCACC